CCUACGGGACGCAGCAGUGGGGAAUCUUCCGCAAUGGACGAAAGUCUGACGGAGCAACGCCGCGUGAACGAAGAAGGUCUUCGGAUUGUAAAGUUCUGUGAUUCGGGACGAAAGGGUUUGUGGUGAAUAAUCAUAGACAUUGACGGUACCGAAAGAGCAAGCCACGGCUAACUACGUGCCAGCAGCCGCGGUAAUACGUAGGUGGCAAGCGUUGUCCGGAAUUAUUGGGCGUAAAGCGCGCGCAGGCGGUUUCUUAAGUCCAUCUUAAAAGCGUGGGGCUCAACCCCAUGAGGGGAUGGAAACUGGGAAGCUGGAGUAUCGGAGAGGAAAGUGGAAUUCCUAGUGUAGCGGUGAAAUGCGUAGAGAUUAGGAAGAACACCGGUGGCGAAGGCGACUUUCUAGACGAAAACUGACGCUGAGGCGCGAAAGCGUGGGGAGCAAACAGGAUUAGAUACCCUCGUAGUC
Molecule: ribosomal RNA, 465 nt
Filed under: uncultured bacterium
Lineage: Bacteria
Description: bacterial SSU rRNA
Rfam family: Bacterial small subunit ribosomal RNA
Source: RNAcentral